This is a non-coding RNA of Ornithorhynchus anatinus (platypus), 72 nucleotides long. The record is from Rfam. NCBI's taxonomy places the organism in Eukaryota, Metazoa, Chordata, Mammalia, Monotremata, Ornithorhynchidae.
AGCAGAGUGGCUCGGUGGCAAGAGCCCGGGCUUGGGAGUCAGAGGUCGUGGGUUCGAAUCCCAACUCCGCCA